RNAcentral lists this ribosomal RNA (251 nucleotides) under uncultured bacterium. Its description in RNAcentral is "partial 16S ribosomal RNA". It matches the Rfam family "Bacterial small subunit ribosomal RNA", at positions 526 to 776 of the family's 1533-position model. The record is from RNAcentral.
CAGAGGUGGCAAGCGUUGUUCGGAAUUACUGGGCGUAAAGGGCGCGUAGGCGGCCUUCUAAGUCAGACGUGAAAUCCCCCGGCUUAACCUGGGAACUGCGUCUGAUACUGGGAGGCUUGAGUAUGGGAGAGGGAUGUAGAAUUCCAGGUGUAGCGGUGAAAUGCGUAGAUAUCUGGGGGAAUACCGGUGGCGAAGGCGGCAUCCUGGACCGACAUUGACGCUGAGGAGCGAAAGCUAGGGGAGCAAACGGG